GUGAGCCGGUGGGCGGCCUCCGAGCCCCGAGGAGGGCUUGGGGAAACUCCACCCACCAGGCAGGGCCGCGGCGCCGCGAGGCGCAGGGCGAGAGCCCUGGCUCCGGAACAGAAACGAGACCUCCAUCCACAGGAUGGCUAUGAGACGCCGAUGAGGCGUCGAGGACGUGGAUGGAUGGGGUGAGACGGCCGACCCGCGGGGUGGAAGGGCGAGUAGGCGUCAAUGAGUCCUGCCCGAGACGCCGGGUGGCCCGUUCAGCCGAAUGCCGCCCAGAACAGAAGGUGGGUUACGGCCGGCACAC
This 301-nucleotide RNase P RNA is filed under the name Candidatus Bathyarchaeota archaeon. Its description in RNAcentral is "RNase P RNA component". It matches the Rfam family "Archaeal RNase P". Rfam says of the family: Ribonuclease P (RNase P) is a ubiquitous endoribonuclease, found in archaea, bacteria and eukarya as well as chloroplasts and mitochondria. The record is from RNAcentral. Lineage: Archaea; Thermoproteati; Candidatus Bathyarchaeota.